AAAAUGUCAGUAGAUGGCCAGUAGUAGUACAAUAGAUAUCAGUAGUGUUCUGAUUGGUCCAACUAUCUCAGUAGUAAAUCAUUAGAAUUUUAGUUCUGUUCUGACAGCAAGAACAGUAGAUAGCGGUGUAAAUUUAGUACUUGGCAGUAGCGGCCCAGUAGGACAUUAGAAGUUGAAUUACUGAAAAGCUAAUAAAAGUUCUACUGUAAGUAGUCUACUAGUACUUAACAGUAGAUUUUCUGUACUGAUCAGAUGCUUUGCCAAGGAUAUACACCAGGAAGAUAAAGCCAUUCCUCCUUGUUAGCACCAGACUACAUCGCUGCCUUCAACUGCAUGUUAUCUAAUAUUUCCACCAUUACUGUAACUUCCCUCUGCCCUCUGAACAUGACUACCCCCCACCCCCCAACAAAAACAUGACCAAAAAACAUAGUGAGGUUGCAUGUCUGGACGUGUUCCAUGCCAGUUGUCCUCAGCUGGCUGUCACCUCGUCAGGGAAUUUCCCAUGACUCAUGAUCAUGUAUCAUGAAUCAUGGGAAAUCCCCUGACGAGGUGACAGUCAGACACGACACCACUGUCGCUGUAGAUGUAGAGAAGCGUGUUUUGUGUUGCUUUUCCAAAGUCGCUGGCCAAUGGGCUGCCUAGUAUUCAUAUUGCGUAAUGCAGAUGAAACGUAAACCAAGCUGAUUACGAACACAGCAGUCAUUUUGCUGCCUGGCACAGGGGAGACAACACAGGUCUGGGACCGGUCUCUGAUAACAACUGCUCCCACGAAGUCAACGCACUCCCCUGCACUUCGGUCGGGCAAAUGAGAUCCACACGAAUUCAAGGGACGUCGCUGAUGGCUUUCACUGGAAGACGAGCUGUAUCACUGAAGGGAAGGACAUCUGUGUGCAAAUUGCUACAAGGGGAUCGAGGCUGGGAGCCAUGGAAAACCCGAAACAACGUCGGCCAAAGGAGCAAGGCCAUGCAAGACCGGCAGCAGAGCCGUGGGCGGCCAACCGAUUGCGCUGCUAUUGAGGGAAAAACUGAGUGCAGUUAGAGAAUUCAUGGACUGACAUACACGUGCUGUCUGCGUUAUUUGACUUAUACGAAUACGUGUUGUCUAUUCUAUUAGGUCAUAUUUAGUAAUGUAAAAAUAAUUCAAUUCACCUAGACAAUGAUGGAUAUACGAAUGGUGGACAUCCUAACCAAACGUAUAUAUGAAUUUUUUUGACACGACAAAAGUACAGCGACUUUCGUGAGGAUUAUAACAACUAUUUACAGUACAGCUAAGCAGACGUAUAUCAUAUUUACAGAUAUGAAUAAGUCAACAUGUUGUUUCUAGCAUGUCAUUUACAUAAUUCGAACAUUGCCUGCAAAUGUCUUGAGUUACAAACACACGUGCUCAUCAGAGGGGCAGAGGACAGAGCGAGAUGGACACGGAUCACUGCUACUGGAUGUCGGGGAGCCCCUACGACCACUGAGGUUAUGGGCCGUGAGUGAGUGAGAGUGACACACUUUUACCAAUCUAACGUUUGCGGGAGUUUCUCAACGAUAAAAAUACACGUCCGUGCAGCCGUUUACUUUCGGGUCGGAACCUGGAGUAAUGCAUCAAUGGGAUCGGACCUUACAAUUAUUGUGUAUGCAAGCUGUAGCAGCCUUUCACUCCGUCACAUACAAGAAGAUACAACGCAACGUUUGCUAGAUGUAAUUAGUCUGUAUUAUUGUACUAUGAUUGUUAUUCUUAAACGGCUAUUCGUUUGAUGACGUGAACUGCAACAGACCGAGAUGUACUAGUAACCAAUGUUAAGUGAUAUGAGCGAUGUUGUGUAGCUGUCUGUCAGGUAAGACAGUAUACAAAGACGAGAGAUUUCUUCGGCAGUUCAGGAGAGCAGACAUUUGUCUCAGUACAUACUGAGACAGAAUGUGAAGACAAGAGAUUUCUAAGGUAAGAGAGCUCAGUUCAGGAGAGACUAUAGAGAACUUCAGUUAAGGCCAAAAUGAGAUAGCAUUAUUUUGAAGUCUGUUAUAUUGUUAAAAGUCUUCCGUACCUAGCGUGCGGAAAUUCUUGUCUCUGCGUCAUUUCUUUAUCCUUCAUGUGCUGAUCUUCGAAUUUCAGUCGGCAACUAAAGGAACCUGUAUAUAUUUGUUACAUGUCUAAGCCUCUAUCGUUAGGAUCUUGUCGUAACUUUCCUAACUUUACAACACGCUAACCCUUCAUGCUUGUGGCUCUUGCCGUCCUGCCGUUUCCGACAAGAGUACAAGAUCACAUUUCCCAACUAUCCCAUCCAAUCCCCUCAUACAAUACACUAACCCUUCAUGCUUGUGGCUCUUGCCGUCCUGCCGUUUCCGACAAGAGUACAAGAUCACAUUCCUAACCAUUCCAUCGCAUUCCUUCAUACAACACACUAACCCGUCAUGCUUGUGGCUCUUGCCGUCCUGCCGUUUCCGACAAGAGUACA
Molecule: long non-coding RNA, 2441 nt
Organism: Branchiostoma floridae (Florida lancelet)
Lineage: Eukaryota; Metazoa; Chordata; Leptocardii; Amphioxiformes; Branchiostomatidae
Exons: 3
Source: RefSeq, a predicted model, not a curated record